UCCAGGCGGCCAUGCUGGCAUCAGAUGUUGCGUUUCACUUUCAUCUUAAAAACCAUCGCUUCCCCAGUCACAAGCACACAGAGAGUCUACUGAUUAUCCAGGUUGUGACGUUCUACUGGGCAUUACUAGCUUCAGUGUAUUCCCUUCAGGCAGGGAAUCGCAGAAUGGGCUACUUAUCUUUGGCAUCAGUCUUUCUUAACCUAGGUGUUUUUUCCCUACGGAUCGGUUAUGAGUUCAUCAUGAUGAGGUUCAGAGCAGAGGAAUACUGAGGCGAACUGGCUCUG
Molecule: long non-coding RNA, 284 nt
Organism: Alosa alosa (allis shad)
Lineage: Eukaryota; Metazoa; Chordata; Actinopteri; Clupeiformes; Clupeidae
Exons: 3
Source: RefSeq, a predicted model, not a curated record